AGGAGAGUGGAAUUCCACGUGUAGCGGUGAAAUGCGUAGAGAUGUGGAGGAACACCAGUGGCGAAGGCGACUCUCUGGUCUGUAACUGACGCUGAGGAGCGAAAGCGUGGGGAGCGAACAGGAUUAGAUACCCUGGUAGUCCACGCCGUAAACGAUGAGUGCUAAGUGUUAGGGGGUUUCCGCCCCUUAGUGCUGCAGCUAACGCAUUAAGCACUCCGCCCUGGGGAGUACGGUCGCAAGACUGAAAACUCAAAGGAAUUGACGGGGGCCCGCACAAGCGGGGGGAGCAUGGUGGGUUUAAUUCGAAUCAACGCGAAGAAACCUUUACCAGG
Molecule: ribosomal RNA, 332 nt
Filed under: Bacillus sp. (in: firmicutes)
Lineage: Bacteria; Bacillati; Bacillota; Bacilli; Caryophanales; Bacillaceae
Description: bacterial SSU rRNA
Rfam family: Bacterial small subunit ribosomal RNA
Source: RNAcentral